UCAGUACUCCCUCCGUCCGGAAAUACUUGUCAUCAAAAUGGAUCCAUUUUAGUGACAAGUAUUUCCGGACGGAGGGAGUAUUUA
Molecule: non-coding RNA, 84 nt
Organism: Triticum aestivum (bread wheat)
Lineage: Eukaryota; Viridiplantae; Streptophyta; Magnoliopsida; Poales; Poaceae
Source: Rfam